CAGCAGCCACGGUAAUACGUAGGUGGCAAGCGUUGUCCGGAAUUAUUGGGCGUAAAGCGCGCGCAGGUGGUUUAAUAAGUCUGAUGUGAAAGCCCACGGCUCAACCGUGGAGGGUCAUUGGAAACUGUUAAACUUGAGUGCAGGAGAGAAAAGUGAAAUUCCUAGUGUAGCGGUGAAAUGCGUAGAAAUUAGGAGGAACACCAGUGGCGAAGGCGGCUUUUUGGCCUGUAACUGACACUGAGGCGCGAAAGCGUGGGGAGCAAACAGGAUUAGAUACCCCAGUAGUCCCUGUCUCUUAUAC
RNAcentral lists this ribosomal RNA (301 nucleotides) under uncultured bacterium. RNAcentral's name for it is "partial 16S ribosomal RNA". It matches the Rfam family "Bacterial small subunit ribosomal RNA", at positions 509 to 807 of the family's 1533-position model. The record is from RNAcentral.